Molecule: transfer RNA, 57 nt
Filed under: Bigelowiella longifila
Lineage: Eukaryota; Cercozoa; Chlorarachniophyceae
Description: partial tRNA
Source: RNAcentral
CCUAGAAAAAGAAAGAAAAUCCGGUAUUAUCCAUAAAGAUGGAGAUCACCUAACGAU